UACGUAGGGGGCAAGCGUUGUCCGGAUUUAUUGGGCGUAAAGAGCGUGUAGGCGGUUUGGUAGGUCCGCUGUGAAAACUCGAGGCUCAACCUCGAGACGCCGGUGGAAACCAUCAGACUAGAGUCCGGAAGAGGAGAGUGGAAUUCCUGGUGUAGCGGUGGAAUGCGCAGAGAUCCGGAGGAACACCAGUGGCGAAGGCGACACGCUGGGCCGUACCUGACACUGAUGCGCGACAGCGUGGGGAGCAAACAGG
RNAcentral lists this ribosomal RNA (253 nucleotides) under uncultured bacterium. RNAcentral's name for it is "partial 16S ribosomal RNA". It matches the Rfam family "Bacterial small subunit ribosomal RNA", at positions 524 to 776 of the family's 1533-position model. The record is from RNAcentral.